GGAGUUAGCCGGUGCUUCUUCUGUGAGUGAUGUCCUUCCUGCCGGUUAUUGACCCGCAGGCCUUCUUCCUCACUGAAAGUGCUUUACAACCCGAAGGCCUUCUUCACACACGCGGCAUGGCUGGAUCAGGGUUGCCCCCAUUGUCCAAUAUUCCCCACUGCUGCCUCCCGUAGGAGUCUGGGCCGUGUCUCAGUCCCAGUGUGGCUGAUCAUCCUCUCAGACCAGCUACGGAUCGUCUCCUUGGUGAGCCGUUACCUCACCAACCAGCUAAUCCGACAUAGGCUCAUCCGAUAGCGCGAGGCCCGAAGGUCCCCCGCUUUCCCCCGUAGGGCGUAUGCGGUAUUAGCCUGGGUUUCCCCAGGUUAUCCCCCACUACCGGGCAGAUUCCUAUGCAUUACUCACCCGUCCGCCGCUCGCCACCAGGGAGCAAGCUCCCCGUGCUGCCGCUCGACUUGCAUGUGUUAGGCCUGCCGCCAGCGUUCAAUCUGAGCCAGAAUCGAACCCUGA
This 507-nucleotide ribosomal RNA is filed under the name uncultured bacterium. RNAcentral describes it as "partial 16S ribosomal RNA". The record is from RNAcentral.